This 28-nucleotide non-coding RNA is filed under the name Mus musculus (house mouse). Lineage: Eukaryota; Metazoa; Chordata; Mammalia; Rodentia; Muridae. The record is from RNAcentral.
UGCCGUUUUCGAAACAAGAAACCUAGCA